ACAAAUUGGUGAGACGUCUGGAGGAUACCUCGCCCAAAUGCUCAGGCGCCCGAGGAUGAGUCUGCGGCCGAUUAGGUCGUUGGCGGUGUAACGGACCACCAAGCCAUAGAUCGGUACGGGCGUUGAGAGACGGAGCCCGGAGAUGGGGGCUGAGACACGGCCCCAGGCCCUACGGGGCGCAGCAGGCGCGAAAACUCCGCAAUUCGCGAAAGCGUGACGGGGGAACUCCAAGUGCUGCAGCGUAAGUUGUAGCUUUUGUUUAGCGUAAAUAACUAUUCGAAUAAGGGCUGGGUAAGACCGGUGCCAGCCGCCGCGGUAACACCGGCAGCUCGAGUGGUGACCAUUAUUAUUGGGCCUAAAGCGUUCGUAGCCGGUUCGGUAAGUCCUUGGGUAAAUCCUGGCGCUCAACGUCAGGAAUUCUAGGGAUACUGCCAGACUUGGGACCGAGAGAAGUCAGAGGUACUCCUGGGGUAGCGGUGAAAUGCUGUAAUCCUAGGGGGACCACCAGUGGCGAAGGCGUCUGACUAGAGCGGGUCCGACGGUGAGGAACGAAAGCCAGGGGCGCGAACGGGAUUAGAUACCCCGGUAGUCCUGGCCGUAAACGCUGUGGGCUAGGUGUUGCAUGCUCUACGGGGGCAUGCAGUGCCGAA
RNAcentral lists this ribosomal RNA (650 nucleotides) under uncultured archaeon. RNAcentral's name for it is "bacterial SSU rRNA". It matches the Rfam family "Archaeal small subunit ribosomal RNA", at positions 152 to 805 of the family's 1478-position model. The record is from RNAcentral.